Long non-coding RNA from Molossus molossus (Pallas's mastiff bat), 276 nucleotides. RefSeq lists it as uncharacterized. The transcript is spliced from 3 exons. The record is from RefSeq and is a predicted model, not a curated record. NCBI's taxonomy places the organism in Eukaryota, Metazoa, Chordata, Mammalia, Chiroptera, Molossidae.
CCUACAUAUUCUUCUAGGAUUUUUGUGGAUUCAGGAGUCACAUCAACCACCACCCUGCAUCAGUCAGCAGCCAUCACCACUGAAGCAAGACCCUCUACCAGCAAAAAGAUUAGGAUUCACUGAAGGCUUAAGAUGAUGGACAGCAUUUUUAACAAUGAAGUAUUUUUAAAUUAAGGAACUGUUGGGAAAACUUCUCAGGGCUGAGAGACUGAAGAAAGAGGCCUACAACUACAGAAUUAUGCCGAGAUUUUAUUAAGGGAACGUACGGAUAGAAGC